Molecule: ribosomal RNA, 508 nt
Filed under: uncultured bacterium
Lineage: Bacteria
Description: partial 16S ribosomal RNA
Rfam family: Bacterial small subunit ribosomal RNA
Source: RNAcentral
GACGAACGCUGGCGGCGUGCUUAACACAUGCAAGUCGAACGAGAAAGCCCUUCGGGGUAAGUACAGUGGCGAACGGGUGAGUAACACGUGGGCAACCUGCCCCAGAGAGCGGGACAACCCGGGGAAACCCGGGCUAAUACCGCAUGAUGCGUCUCCACUUAAGUGGAGCCGCCAAAUGGUAGCUUCGGCCUCCGCUCUGGCAUGGGCCCGCGCCGGAUUAGCUAGUUGGUUGGGGUAACGGCCCACCAAGGCGACGAUCCGUAGCUGGUCUGAGAGGACGAUCAGCCACACUGGGACUGAGACACGGCCCAGACUCCUACGGGAGGCAGCAGUGGGGAAUCUUGCGCAAUGGGCGAAAGCCUGAUCCAGCCAUGCCGCGUGAGUGAAGAAGGCCUUCGGGUUGUAAAGCUCUUUCGCGAGGGAAGAAAACGCAACGGAUAAUACCUGUUGUGGAUGACGGUACCUUGAUAAGAAGCACCGGCUAACUACGUGCCAGCAGCCGCGGUAA